This 486-nucleotide ribosomal RNA is filed under the name uncultured bacterium. RNAcentral's name for it is "partial 16S ribosomal RNA". It matches the Rfam family "Bacterial small subunit ribosomal RNA", at positions 30 to 507 of the family's 1533-position model. The record is from RNAcentral.
AUUGAACGCUGGCGGCAUGCCUUACACAUGCAAGUCGAACGGCAGCACGGGUGCUUGCACCUGGUGGCGAGUGGCGAACGGGUGAGUAAUACAUCGGGACAUGUCCUGUAGUGGGGGAUAGCCCGGCGAAAGCCGGAUUAAUACCGCAUACGAUCUACGGAUGAAAGCGGGGGACCUUCGGGCCUCGCGCUAUAGGGUUGGCCGAUGGCUGAUUAGCUAGUUGGUGGGGUAAAGGCCUACCAAGGCGACGAUCAGUAGCUGGUCUGAGAGGACGACCAGCCACACUGGGACUGAGACACGGCCCAGACUCCUACGGGAGGCAGCAGUGGGGAAUUUUGGACAAUGGGCGAAAGCCUGAUCCAGCAAUGCCGCGUGUGUGAAGAAGGCCUUCGGGUUGUAAAGCACUUUUGUCCGGAAAGAAAUCCUUGGCCCUAAUACGGUCGGGGGAUGACGGUACCGGAAGAAUAAGCACCAGCUAACUACGUG